CCAGUUCUUUCAUCGUGGAUUUAAAAGCAUUCAACAAAAUUAAAACAUUAAGCUUUAAGUCAUUUUGCAAUUUAUUGCAGUCCGAAGGUGCAGAAUACAUAAAUUCCCUUUUUCCAGUCUCUGUACGGACACUUGGGUCAGAAAGCAUAAAAAAAGUCCUGAGAUCGCAAGGCAUACUGUCCAGUAUCUUUCUGCGAUAUAAAUAUACGGAGGUAUGAUGGGAGCAGACUAACAAUUGCAUAUAAAUUGUAUAUAUAAGUAUAACAAUUGUAUAUAAAAGUAAUCCAAUGUAAAAGUCGACGGGUUGCCAAAGCAGGCCAUCCUACCCGAGAGUAUAGCUCACAAUGGUGAGUCAAGGCUUUGCAAUCUGUAAUAAAUCUCAGGGAAGCAUGGUAAACUGUGUCAAGCAUGUGAAGAGAUUGAGCAGAGGCAUGCAAAAGAUAACCAUAGUCCAACACUGGCAGAAAGGUGGCAGCAACAAGUCUCUCUAAAGUAGGAAUAUAUGUUUGUUUCGGUUACACCACCAUCUAUUUUGAACUAUUCGUGUUUUUUCUAGGUUGUUUUGGGUUACCUUUCUGUAGGUCUAUGCUGGCGACAGCCUGCAUAGCUCAGAUAGUCCUACUGUAAUAAAGAAAACAAUCUAAAAAGAAAACAAAAUAGGCUACACACGCGCGUUGCGGUUGCAUGGAAUAUUUACAAAAGUAACCACAGCAUUAUUCGUGGAUACGCCUUUUCUGUCGCAUGAUAUAGGCUACACCCUACCCUACGUAUGGUCUACGGUGGAGGGGGGAAUCCCGACAGGCGCGACAGAGGAAGACACCGUUGUGGAGUGUGCACUGGAGCUGCGGAACUUUGGGGACUGUUACAACAUAAUGUACAGUCUUCUUGGAACUGUCUUUCUCAACGGACAAGCGGCCCAAGACAGUAAAGUCGACACGGACUCCACGAAGAAAAACAAGACUAAAAAACCGAACAAAUAAAGGUUAGGAGAAACAAAAUGUGGAAGGAUUGCGGCAUCGACUUAACAGAGUCGUUUCUUGUAACUGAAAUAUCUUCUCGACGGCAGAGACCAACCACCUGAGACGAAGAUCAGGCUUUUUUUAAAAGCUUGCAAGAAAAGUUAUCUACUAUAAAAUAAAUUUAAAUAAAAUGUCUAAAAAGGAAGACACCAUUGUGGAGUGUGCACUGGAGCUGCGGAACUUUGGGGACUGUUACAACAUAAUGUACAGUCUUCUUGGCACUGUCUUUCUCAACGGACAAGCGGCCCAAGACAGUAAAGUCGACACGGACUCCAAGAAGAAAAACAAGACUAAAAAACCGAACAAAUAAAGGUUAGGAGAAACAAAAUGUGGAAGGAUUGCGGCAUCGACUUAACAGGUUUUAAUCCUGUGUCAAGUCCAGUCAGAGUUCAUUUUCUGAACUGGAGAGUUCUGGGCCAGAAGAAAUGGGUAUAGUCCUGUUCUGAAUGCCAGACGACAGGUUCAGAUUUGGAACCUCCAACGAAAUUGCAGUAGGCCUGCUGUGUAAAGGAUGUGGAUUCCAAACGACGUUGACUCAGAGAUGGGUGCCAGGUCGUACGUGGAAAGAACUGCCCAACUUUUUUGUUUCAGAAUGUGUUUAUUGAUUUAAAGAAGUGGGCUUACAGACUAUUUUGUGUUCGGUCAUCUUAAGUGGUUUCCGGUGUAAAUGCUAUUUACUGUCGGUAGCUUACAUAUUUAUUCUACAGUAUAAGUGAGCAGUUGUCGCUUAGUGUUUGUUGUUGAUUUGUCUUUUUCUGCCGCGAGGUGGCGGUAUUGAUCCAUUAAUUGUCUAAGUGGCUGCCUUUACCUUUUGACGUUGAAAAUUGAAACACUGCAGCGUUUGGCCACUACCACGACAAACUAGAAGCUGUUCCAGACCUGGAAGCUACAUUUUCUUGCAGAUCUUGCAGUUACCUCUGAAUGAACAACUAACUUGUUAUCCAAAUAUUUUUUCUUUCUACUUAAUAAGCUGCUUCAUUGAAGUGAUUGCAAUGUUAUGGGGAUGAGAUGUGCAGAGGACUUGCUUGGCAUUACAUUCAAACAUCAAUAGGUUUAGCACAACAGUUGGCCAGUCUUAUUGUACGCUGGGCCCAGAAAAAAAUGGUUGUUUUUGUUGUUGGCUCAAUUUGAUAAAUGAAAUUACUUAAUUGAUAAAUUAAGUGACUUCGAUUGAUAAAUUAAGUCACUGUUUCCAAACCCUGGGUCUUGGGGCACUGUUUAAGCAAGGUAUUGUUCCAGCUGCUUUUAAUUAAUUAGGUUCAGUUAUAUAUAACUGUAUAUAUCAGCAUGAUUGUUAAUUUGCUGCAACGGUGUGUUGUAGGAGAGUGGAGUGCUAAUUAAUCUAAGCAAAGAUCUGUUAUUGUCUUAAUGUUUUU
This is a long non-coding RNA of Anguilla anguilla (European eel), 2395 nucleotides long. RefSeq lists it as uncharacterized. NCBI's taxonomy places the organism in Eukaryota, Metazoa, Chordata, Actinopteri, Anguilliformes, Anguillidae. The transcript is spliced from 3 exons. The record is from RefSeq and is a predicted model, not a curated record.